Molecule: long non-coding RNA, 903 nt
Filed under: Mustela putorius furo (domestic ferret)
Lineage: Eukaryota; Metazoa; Chordata; Mammalia; Carnivora; Mustelidae
Description: lncRNA (ENSMPUG00000030729.1)
Source: RNAcentral
GCUUUGGCUGAUUGGAUGUCUCCUACCUGUGUGUUUUAGUAAUGGUUACCGGGAACCAAUACUAGUAACUGCUGAGGCAUUUAUUAAACAACAAAAUGGCCUUGUUUUAAGGUCUGUGUUUUAGCAACGGUUACCCGGAACUGGUAUGAGUAACUGCUGAGGCAUUUAUUAAACAACAAAAUGGCUACCUAGGCAACAUGGAGUCACUAUGGCUAAGUAGGCCCAGGCAGGCCCUACGGGUUUAACAGGUUUUAAUGUGAAAUCAGCCCCAAUAGAGGCAGCUGCAUCCCAAAUGCGUUGCCUGGGGCCCUGAGAGGACAGUGGGGUCCCGAGCAGAAAGGAAUGCCCUGGAGGAGUGUUCUGACAAAUGCCUGGAAAAGCUUGGAUCUGAGCCACCAGACCCCUUCACUCUCUCUUCUUUCAGCUGCCACCUGGGAUGCUGGUCUCCAGGUCCCUUUGAGCAGUGAGCUGAGCCACCUGGUGGCAGAGAUCUGAGCUUUGGGAGGGCAGCUGGAGCAAAGCAUCCAGGUGAACAGCUGUCUAAGAUUGCAGCUGGAGCACCAGUUGGAUGGCAGGGGGAGAAAAACCGGCCUCAGCCUCUCCUCGCCCACCAGGAGGACCCUGGAAACAAGCAACCACUCUUCCAAGGGUGAGGACAAUAAUCACAUGUAUCUUAUGGACAAUCAUAUGCAUGUCAUAUGGUAAUAUGGUAAUUAUGCCUUAAGUGCAAUAAUUUACAAGUGCCUGACAUGGUAAGCAUUGCUCAACAGUUAAUAGGUUGUGAGUUAAUAUCUAUUCCUUGUAUUUGUGGAGUGCUUUAAAAUUUACCAUGAGUUUUCAAACAAUUUUCCAAACUGUUUCAUCUGAGGUAAGGGAGGUUUUGCCUUUGUAUUUCAACGUGGG